UUCCCGCGCGGCGCCCUCUCCUGGCGGCCUCUGCUGGCGUCGCCGGGAAAGAGCUUUGGUUUGAAAAGAACGUGGUAAUGUUCUCUUCUACAAGAUGGAUGGCUCUUUGUCUUCCGUGGGAGGGAAGAAAAGUGAAUUUGAGUCUGCAAAUACAAGUCCUCAACUUCUCAGUAUGAGAAGGGAUCCGUGGAGCUCACUCUUAACACUUCAGUGUCAUGACACAAAUAUCUACCAGCUAUGGCCAGGGCACAUAUUAAUGAAGAACCAGAAUUUUCCAGAUGAAAAGAUUCCUCACAUUGAGUCCACUGAGGCCACGCUCAAAGCCAACUCCUCUGGAAAAUAUCAAGGGGCUGCUAUAAUAUGGCCACAAAGAGCAAAAGCAGAUUUGUGUCUGGAGAGAAGAAGUCUAAGACCAAAUGCUGCCUAGAAAGCGAUUUAUUCACCUUACAGAGAUGAAAGGAGGGAAGCCCUGGUGGGCAAUAAAACUCAUCCACUGGGGCGGCACGGAGGCUCUCU
Long non-coding RNA from Fukomys damarensis (Damara mole-rat), 516 nucleotides. RefSeq lists it as uncharacterized. The transcript has 3 exons. NCBI's taxonomy places the organism in Eukaryota, Metazoa, Chordata, Mammalia, Rodentia, Bathyergidae. The record is from RefSeq and is a predicted model, not a curated record.